This 253-nucleotide unclassified non-coding RNA is filed under the name uncultured Planctomycetota bacterium. RNAcentral's name for it is "uncultured planctomycete contains 16S-23S intergenic spacer region". It matches the Rfam family "Bacterial small subunit ribosomal RNA", at positions 524 to 776 of the family's 1533-position model. Lineage: Bacteria; Pseudomonadati; Planctomycetota. The record is from RNAcentral.
UACAGGGGGGGCGAACGUUACUCGGAAUCACUGGGCAUAAAGGGCACGUAGGCGGUCCUGUAAGUCGGAUGUGAAAGACCCUGGCUCAACCAGGGAAGUGCAUCCGAUACUGCAGGGCUAGAGGCCGAGAGGGGUGAGUGGAACUCCUGGUGGAGCGGUGAAAUGCGUAGAUAUCAGGAGGAACACCGGUGGCGAAGGCGACUCACUGGCUCGGUUCUGACGCUGAGGUGCGAAAGCUAGGGUAGCGAACGGG